UUUGACUUUUCGUCUUAUUUGAAUUUUUUAUAAUUAAUUUUUUUAUUGUUAUUACGUGAUAAAAUAUGAAUAAUACUUUGCAUGUGACUAUUUUUUCAAUUUUUUAAUAAACUCUUCAAAUAAGACGGAUGAUCAAA
This 137-nucleotide microRNA precursor is filed under the name Oryza brachyantha (malo sina). RNAcentral's name for it is "MIR812 microRNA precursor family". It matches the Rfam family "MIR812 microRNA precursor family", at positions 33 to 173 of the family's 205-position model. Lineage: Eukaryota; Viridiplantae; Streptophyta; Magnoliopsida; Poales; Poaceae. The record is from Rfam by way of RNAcentral.